GAUGAACGCUGGCGGCGUGCCUAAUACAUGCAAGUCGAGCGAACAGAUGAGGAGCUUGCUCCUCUGACGUUAGCGGCGGACGGGUGAGUAACACGUGGAUAACCUACCUAUAAGACUGGGAUAACUUCGGGAAACCGGAGCUAAUACCGGAUAAUAUAUUGAACCGCAUGGUUCAAUAGUGAAAGACGGUUUUGCUGUCACUUAUAGAUGGAUCCGCGCCGCAUUAGCUAGUUGGUAAGGUAACGGCUUACCAAGGCAACGAUGCGUAGCCGACCUGAGAGGGGGAUCGGCCACACUGGAACUGAGACAAGGUCCAGACCCCUACGGGAGGCAGCAGUAGGGAAUCUUCCGCAAUGGGCGAAAGCCUGACGGAGCAACGCCGCGUGAGUGAUGAAGGUCUUCGGAUCGUAAAACUCUGUUAUUAGGGAAGAACAAAUGUGUAAGCAACUAUGCACGUCUUGACGGUACCUAAUCAGAAAGCCACGGCUAACUACGUG
RNAcentral lists this ribosomal RNA (497 nucleotides) under uncultured bacterium. RNAcentral's name for it is "partial 16S ribosomal RNA". It matches the Rfam family "Bacterial small subunit ribosomal RNA", at positions 28 to 507 of the family's 1533-position model. The record is from RNAcentral.